Molecule: ribosomal RNA, 462 nt
Filed under: Bacillus sp. B31(2005)
Lineage: Bacteria; Bacillati; Bacillota; Bacilli; Caryophanales; Bacillaceae
Description: bacterial SSU rRNA
Rfam family: Bacterial small subunit ribosomal RNA
Source: RNAcentral
GGGAUAACUCCGGGAAACCGGGGCUAAUACCGGAUAACAUUUUGAACCGCAUGGUUCGAAAUUGAAAGGCGGCUUCGGCUGUCACUUAUGGAUGGACCCGCGUCGCAUUAGCUAGUUGGUGAGGUAACGGCUCACCAAGGCAACGAUGCGUAGCCGACCUGAGAGGGUGAUCGGCCACACUGGGACUGAGACACGGCCCAGACUCCUACGGGAGGCAGCAGUAGGGAAUCUUCCGCAAUGGACGAAAGUCUGACGGAGCAACGCCGCGUGAGUGAUGAAGGCUUUCGGGUCGUAAAACUCUGUUGUUAGGGAAGAACAAGUGCUAGUUGAAUAAGCUGGCACCUUGACGGUACCUAACCAGAAAGCCACGGCUAACUACGUGCCAGCAGCCGCGGUAAUACGUAGGUGGCAAGCGUUAUCCGGAAUUAUUGGGCGUAAAGCGCGCGCAGGUGGUUUCUUAAG